UUCAUAAAAAAUGAUAAUGGCUAACAAUCCCAUUUUAAUCGUCUUAUUAAAUAUAAAUAAAUCUUUAUAUACAUCAACCAAUACGAAAACUUGAAAAUACACUCAUUUAUAUAUUAGUGUUUCUACAACAACUCAAUGUCACAUGAUAUUGCUGCCAAAACAAAAAUUCAAAGUUCUUCUACACUAUAAUCUUAGAUUACACACCAUCCAACCAAUUUCACUGGUUUCACCGGAGGAGCAGAGAAGCGACGAGUCGGCGGUACCAAACGCAACAGAUCGCGAUAGCAGCUCCUCGUUUUGCUGCGCCAGUCGAAACAGAAGAGAGAAACGAGAAAGGAAGGGAUCGGAGCUUUGUCGUCGUUGAGACAGACUGGAGUCGCCGAAAAGUCGAGAGGGGAGCUGCAACGUGAUUUCCCGAACGAAGCAAAGUCGCAGCUCUUCCUGCGACAACUGCACUAGCUUCGCUAGCCUGAAAUGGCAGAGGAGAGGGAGAGAGAGCGGCAUGGGAGCGGCGGCGGCGGAAGGAGGCGGUUCUGGUCUCAGGCGAUCGGGAAAACGAAAAGAAAAAGCAAGGGGGAGGGCUUAAGUCGGCGCUAAAGGGGAAAGAUGGGUUUCUAGAAUUUGCUUGGUUAGGUUUUUGUGAAUGAUUUGGUUCAAAUCGAGUUUGGUUCGGUUCAAAUCAUGGUUUUUGUGUUCGAUUUCCAAUUGGUUUUCACGUAGUUGCAGGAGGAUGCUAAAGGAAUCUAUACAGUCAAAAAUGGGUAUAAAGUGCUUUACAACCAACUCCCUAAUGCUUCCAUUUUACUUCAACAGUUAUGGAAAUCUAUUUGGAAGUUCUUGUUACCGCCUAAAGUGUUGAAUUUUUUUGUGGCGAGCUCCGAGUAAUGUUCUUCCAGUGUGUGCUUUCGCGAACCGAAAACGGUCCUCCAUUGUCCAGUGGCUUGUCCGUCUGCAAGACUGUGCUGGAUUCAGUCUCAGGUGGGUUAGUGGGGAGCUGUGUCAAUUUUCACAAAGUGGUUCACUAUUAUACAAGGUAGAUUGACAGGCAACAGCUUCAAAAGGCCGUAAUGGUCGCGUGGCAAUGUUUCAAGAGCUUCAAGAAUGGCGAGUUGUCAAGUUGUCUUCGAUGUGCUAUAAUGCUCCAGUCACGCCAUUCACUGUUAAAUGGCAGCCACCAAGUUAAAAUUUUUCUUAGUGGUAGGAGUCUGUGGUUGGGCCAAAAAUUUUACACUAAAAAACUAUAUAAAAUUAUUUUUACUUUUAAAGGAAUCACUCAAUAUCAAUCAGUAAUACUAUAUAUUUAUUUUCGUGCCA
Molecule: long non-coding RNA, 1314 nt
Organism: Jatropha curcas
Lineage: Eukaryota; Viridiplantae; Streptophyta; Magnoliopsida; Malpighiales; Euphorbiaceae
Source: RefSeq, a predicted model, not a curated record